UUUCUAUCAAGGCAGUCUUUGUCCAGUUGUAUUGCAAACUGGCAGCUAGCAGUGCUCGGUCGCGUGCAGGGAGUUGCGGUGCACAGAAAGACAGGAACAGAGCGUGAGCGCACAGCAAUUAGCGACACCCGCAAUGCACAAAGGACAGCCGAGAGUAACGGCACAGGAAACCAAAAACUAGGGUCUCUAAGGAACUAUAGCAAGUGCUAGUGAAUUGUUUCCAGUACGCUGCUUUGCCUGCUGCUCGUAAUGACUCAUAUGAGUCAUGAGUCAUAUGAGUUCAUGUCAGUUCAUGUCAUUCAGUCAGUUCAUGUGCACAAUGGUAGCAAAGACAUAUUUCACAACGUAUACGCCUUUUUGCGAUGCACCUUUAGUGACAGGUAUACCUUUACAUCUUUAGACAGGUAUAGUGCGUUAUAUCAGUAUAUCACGUGUAGUUGUAAUAACGCCGCUCAUUGUGCUUUGGUAGGGGUGUUGCGUCCUCUUGCUGCCUGCUACAAUGGUCCUUUAUGAGUUGCAUUGACUAUGUACGCGCUACUAACUGGAUCGAAAAUAUCUGCCCCAUACAUGACUACUGCAACAACUUCAAGCUACAGUACGUUGUAUAAUAGCUCUAGUUCCUACGACACUGUUCUUGUGCAAUAUCGGUGUCCUUCGACGCAAUGGGGAUUUAAUAUGGCAUCAUUAACAGGGCGGAAUUUUUAAGCGGUCCAGUUAGACUGAUUCCAUCGUCAGGGCCUGCAACCGCAAAGGCCACAGCAGUGACCUAAACCAGCAUCAUGUAUCGACUAACUACCGCAAAGGCUACAAUAUCCUACACCAGGCAAGGGACGCGACCAGCACGACGAGAAUAAUUAUCGUUGCAGUCGUCUUUACGGCAGGACGACUAAGCUGCCGUAAGCGUCUCGCACACGUAAACAAUCGGCGGCUAUUUGAGCGACGUCAACAACUGCACUGCCACGGCGGACACUGCGGCUUCUACAAUCGUGCAAGGAUCCCGUUCGCUUUGACGUUCCGGAGAACAUGUGCCAUCAACACCAUCUGGCCACUAUCUCCACAAAAACAGCAGUGAACAAUGGUCUUCAUUACAAGCCCACUUCAUUCAUGCUGAAUAGGAAAUACAUUCGAAACUUGUCUUGACGGUCACAAGAAAUAACAAUAAAAAAAGAAAACUAAA
Molecule: long non-coding RNA, 1177 nt
Organism: Ornithodoros turicata
Lineage: Eukaryota; Metazoa; Arthropoda; Arachnida; Ixodida; Argasidae
Exons: 3
Source: RefSeq, a predicted model, not a curated record